GGGGCUAUAGCUCAGUUGGGAGAGCGCUUGCAUGGCAUGCAAGAGGUCGUCGGUUCGAUUCCGUCUAGCUCCACCA
Molecule: transfer RNA, 76 nt
Filed under: Pseudahrensia aquimaris
Lineage: Bacteria; Pseudomonadati; Pseudomonadota; Alphaproteobacteria; Hyphomicrobiales; Ahrensiaceae
Also listed under: 10 other names
Description: tRNA-Ala
Rfam family: tRNA
About the family: Transfer RNA (tRNA) molecules are approximately 80 nucleotides in length.
Source: RNAcentral